CCUANGGGAGGCAGCAGUGGGGAAUUUUGGACAAUGGGGGCAACCCUGAUCCAGCCAUGCCGCGUGAGUGAAGAAGGCCUUCGGGUUGUAAAGCUCUUUCAGCCGGGAAGAAAACGCAUGGGUUAAUACCCUGUGUGGAUGACGGUACCGGAAUAAGAAGCACCGGCUAACUACGUGCCAGCAGCCGCGGUAAUACGUAGGGUGCGAGCGUUAAUCGGAAUUACUGGGCGUAAAGCGUGCGCAGGCGGUUUUGUAAGACAGGCGUGAAAUCCCCGGGCUCAACCUGGGAACUGCGCUUGUGACUGCAAGGCUAGAGUAUGGCAGAGGGGGGUGGAAUUCCACGUGUAGCAGUGAAAUGCGUAGAGAUGUGGAGGAACACCAAUGGCGAAGGCAGCCCCCUGGGCCAAUACUGACGCUCAUGCACGAAAGCGUGGGUAGCAAACAGGAUUAGAUACCCGUNUANUC
This 465-nucleotide ribosomal RNA is filed under the name uncultured bacterium. RNAcentral's name for it is "bacterial SSU rRNA". It matches the Rfam family "Bacterial small subunit ribosomal RNA", at positions 338 to 795 of the family's 1533-position model. The record is from RNAcentral.